This 1308-nucleotide non-coding RNA is filed under the name Eubacterium sp. 14-2. RNAcentral's name for it is "Bacterial large subunit ribosomal RNA". It matches the Rfam family "Bacterial large subunit ribosomal RNA", at positions 15 to 1275 of the family's 2925-position model. Lineage: Bacteria; Bacillati; Bacillota; Clostridia; Eubacteriales; Eubacteriaceae. The record is from Rfam by way of RNAcentral.
GAGCACAGGGCGGAUGCCUUGGCACUAAGAGCCGACGAAAGACGUGAUAAGCUGCGAAAAGCCGCGGGGAGGAGCAAAUAUCUUAUGAUCCGCGGAUAUCUGAAUGGGGAAACCCACAUGAGGACACCUCAUGUAUCCAUGCGCCAAUCCAUAACGCAUGGAAGGGAACCCGGUGAACUGAAACAUCUAAGUAGCCGGAGGAAAAGAAAGAAACAUCGAUUUCCUGAGUAGCGGCGAGCGAAAGGGAAAGAGCCCAAACCGGGAUGCGAGCAUGCCGGGGUUCGGACCGCAGAAAGGACUGCAGGAGGCAGGGGAAUGGUUUUGGGAAAGCCAGCCGCAGAGGGUGAAAGCCCCGUAACCGAAGCCGAAAGCAGCCAGGCGGGAUCCAGAGUACAUCGAGACACGUGGAACCUUGAUGGAAGACGCGGGGACCACCCCGUAAGGCUGAAUACUACUUAGUGACCGAUAGCGCAGAGUACUGUGAAGGAAAGGUGAAAAGAACCCCGGGAGGGGAGUGAAAGAGAACCUGAAACCCUGUGUUUACAAGCUGUGGAACCGCGAAAGCGGAACCGCGUACUUUUUGUAGAACGGUCCGGCGAGUUGCGUUGUCCGGCAAGGUUAAGCACAUAAAGUGCGGAGCCGCAGGGAAACCGGGUCUUAAGAGGGCCGGAGUCAGACAACGCAGACCCGAAACCGGGUGAUCUAUCCAUGUCCAGGCUGAAGCUUCUGUAAGAGGGAGUGGAGGGCCGAACGCACAUCCGUUGAAAAGGGUGGCGAUGAGGUGUGGAUAGGGGAGAAAUUCCAAUCGAACCCGGAGAUAGCUGGUUCUCCUCGAAAUAGCUUUAGGGCUAGCCUCAUGAGAGUCUGCCGGAGGUAGAGCACUGAAUUUCCUAGGGGGCGUCAAAGCUUACCGAAGAAUAUCAAACUCCGAAUGCCGGCCAGAUGAUUCAUGGGAGUCAGACUGUACGAGAUAAGUUGGACAGUCAAAAGGGAAAGAGCCCGGACCGCCGGCUAAGGCCCCCAAGUGCGUGUUAAGUGGGAAAGGAUGUGGGAUUUCAAAGACAACCAGGAUGUUGGCUCAGAAGCAGCCAUGCAUUCAAAGAGUGCGUAACAGCUCACUGGUCGAGAGGUCCUGCGCCGAAAAUGUCCGGGGCUGAAACACGCCGCCGAAGCCGCGGGAUGUAUGNNNNNNNNNNUGUACCUUGAAAAAUCCAUACAGAAACAGAAAAGACAUCAACAAACAAACCGUAAUCAAAACAUCGGGAUAUUGUAGAAAUAUAAUAUCAGACUGUAUCGGAAGAUACAGGG